Molecule: ribosomal RNA, 1140 nt
Filed under: Ceroplastes floridensis
Lineage: Eukaryota; Metazoa; Arthropoda; Insecta; Hemiptera; Coccidae
Description: 16S ribosomal RNA
Source: RNAcentral
UUAUUUAAAUUUUUGUAUUUUUUUUUUUAUUUUUUUAUAUUGAUAUUUUUAUAAAAAUAUUUUUUUAUUUUAGUAAUAUAGUUUUUUUGAUAAUUAAUACUUUAUUUUUAUUUAUUUUUUUUAGUGAUACAAAAAUUUAAUAAUUAUGUUUGUUAUUUAUUUUAUUAAAUAUAUAAUUUUUAAUAUUUAAUUUAUAUAUAAUUUUUAUUGUUUUAAAAAUAAAAUUAAUAUUAAUUUAAUAUAGAUAUUAUAUUAUUUAAAUAUAAAUAUAUUUUUGUUAUUUAAAUUUAAUUUAUUCUAUUAAUUUAAUUUAAUUGAUUACGAAUUUUUUAUUAGAUAAAUUUUUUAAAAUAAAAGUUUUAAAUUUUUAUAUUUUAUUUUUUAUAUUAAAUAUUUUUUUAAUAUUUAAAUUUUUUUUUAUUUAUUUAUAGUAUGAUUUUUAUUUUUUUUUUUUUAAAUCUUUAUUUAGACAACAAUAUGUUUAAUUAGAAUGGUUUUAUUAUAUUAAUAAUUUUUUAAUUAGUAAUUUUAACAAUUUUAUAUAAUGAAUUUUACAUACUGAUUUGUUUGAUUGUUUAUUAAAAACGUAUUAUUAAGAUUUAUUUUAUUUAAUAUUUAUUCUGCUCAAUGGUUUUACUAAAUAGCUGCAAUAAUUUGAUUGUACAAAGGUAGCAUAAUAAUUUGUAUUUUAAUUGGAUACUGGUAUGAAUGAAUAAACACAACUUAUAUUUUAUUAUUUGUUAUAAAUGAAAUUAAAAUUAAAUUGAAAAUUAUUUAUUGUUAAUAAAAGACGAAAAGACCCUAAAAAUUUUAAAUAAAUUUUGUUUAUUUUUAAUUGGGGUAAUUUUAUAAUUUAAUUUUAUUAAUAUUAUGUAUUUUAAUUAAUUAUUUUUAAAAUAAUAUAUUUAUAUUAAUUACUUUAGGGAUAACAGGAUUAUAAAGAUUUUUAGAAUAUAUAAAAAUUUUUGGUUUUUACCUCGAUGUUGAAUUAAUUUAUAUUUUCUUAUAUAGAUGUAAGAUUGUUUAGUUUGUUCAACUAUUUUUAAAUUACUUGAUUUGAGUUUAGACCGAUGUGAGUUAGGUUGGUUUUUAUCUUUAUUUUUAUGUCUAUUUUAUAGUACGAAAGGAUUUAAAGUAGUU